GAUGAACGCUGGCGGCGUGCUUAACACAUGCAAGUCGAACGAAGCACCUUGAUUCGAUUCUUCGGAUGAAGAUCUUGGUGACUGAGUGGCGGACGGGUGAGUAACGCGUGGGUAACCUGCCUCAUACAGGGGGAUAACAGUUAGAAAUGACUGCUAAUACCGCAUAAGACCACAGCACCGCAUGGUGCAGGGGUAAAAACUCCGGUGGUAUGAGAUGGACCCGCGUCUGAUUAGGUAGUUGGUGGGGUAACGGCCUACCAAGCCGACGAUCAGUAGCCGACCUGAGAGGGUGACCGGCCACAUUGGGACUGAGACACGGCCCAAACUCCUAUGGGAGGCAGCAGUGGGGAAUAUUGCACAAUGGGGGAAACCCUGAUGCAGCGACGCCGCGUGAGCGAUGAAGUAUUUCGGUAUGUAAAGCUCUAUCAGCAGGGAAGAAAAUGACGGUACCUGACUAAGAAGCACCGGCUAAAUACGUG
RNAcentral lists this ribosomal RNA (479 nucleotides) under uncultured bacterium. RNAcentral describes it as "partial 16S ribosomal RNA". It matches the Rfam family "Bacterial small subunit ribosomal RNA", at positions 28 to 507 of the family's 1533-position model. The record is from RNAcentral.